GGAGAUUGUUAAGGUUUUUCCCCCUCUUCUUUUUCUUUACUGGUUCAUCGUAGACUAUGUUUUCUUUUCGUUCUUUUUCUUUAGAAGAGUCUAGCACAACAACGUGGAGUACAGAUCUGCUAGAUUGUGCAAACACUAACUAUGUUUUCUACAGCUAUUUUUGUCACUAAUUAUUUUUUAACAUUUCACUUUUAUUUCGUUGUUUUCCUCGCUCAAUUUAUGGUUUUUGAAACCUUUUGGUCCGGUUUACUGUUAUCCA
RNAcentral lists this unclassified non-coding RNA (259 nucleotides) under Hevea brasiliensis (rubber tree). Lineage: Eukaryota; Viridiplantae; Streptophyta; Magnoliopsida; Malpighiales; Euphorbiaceae. The record is from RNAcentral.